Vicia faba (fava bean) is the source of this 234-nucleotide non-coding RNA. NCBI's taxonomy places the organism in Eukaryota, Viridiplantae, Streptophyta, Magnoliopsida, Fabales, Fabaceae. The record is from the annotation of a GenBank genome assembly.
AUGCAAACUAUCUUUCUAUUGUCAAUCAUGCAAAAAACUCUCACGAGCAGGGACAAAGCAUGGGUUUCCAACAAUUACAUCAUUCGAGCCAUUCCAUCAAAUAUGUCCUUCAAAUUAAAGGAAUUAAAAAAUUUAUCAACAACUAAGCCUUAUCCCACCAAGUGGAAUAGGAUACAUGAAUCAAAUUCCGCCAUAAUGUUCUAUGCCGGAUCAUGUUUCUAUCCAACUCAUUAA